GAGUACAAUGAGAAUCUAGACCAACUAAUUUACAAAAUGUACCAUCUCAAAGGUGCAGAAUCUCAUAAAAUAAUUUACAGCGAAUUUGUUAGUUGUUUUAUCCAUGUAGAAAUACCAUGAUAAGUAAACAGUGAUUUCUACUCUCACCACAUAUAAGAUCACAAUUUUUUACUGGCAAAGGAUUGAUAACAUCAGUUAUUAAAAUACUAUAAAUAAGCAGCUACCACAAACGGACCUUUAAGGCAGAACGCAUAAGCUCGUCAACAUAAUCAAUAGUAGCACAUUUCACAAAGUCAAAUGAAAUAUUAUCAACCACUAAUAUAACUCCAUCCUGUUCAAAGAUCCUGGACCAACAAAGCAUCAAAAUUUUCUUUUGUUGUGAGUAGUGAUGUAUUCAUGUAACGAAAUGAUACAACACAAAAGGCCCCCACAAAUUACUACAGAUUGUUAAGUUAACAUUCAGAUAAGUUACCAACUCCAUAUCACAAAUCAUAUUCCUCAGAAUCCUUUGGGCCGACUCAACAAAUAAAAAUAUAGCUCAGAAAGAUGGAACUGGAAAUAGAAAUAGAAUCAUACCGUCAGCAGAUGGUUGAGAGGCACUUUGAAUUCCUCGAUGGCGAAUUUCGGAACUAAAAUAUAGAGAAAGAAAAGGAAUUAAACCACUAACAAUUCAAUAAAGCUACUUGUUUCUUCAUAUUUCAUUACUUUUGUUUUUCAAAUAACCAACAAUUGUUCACCAUACAAUGAACAAAGAAAUAUUUUUAUGAACCAUACCAUCGAAUUACUUAUUGAAACUUCAUUCUAUCUAAUAUACGGAAUUUUCAUUUCCUCUACUGAUACUAUUUUCACUAUUUGUUUCUCCAUUUUAAUAUUGAAACUGAAAACUGUGAUUUAUGACCUUCAAUCCAUUACAGCACGCUGAAUAUAUUAUCUCUAUUUAAUAUCAACAGUGAAAACUUCAAUGCAUGACUUUCAAAGCCAAUUAAUCAUUCGAACUAAUGAUUUUAUAGCUUAUAAAGUUUCCAUUGUUAUCGAUCAGUAAAUCUUUCCAAAAUUUGAUAUUUCUAAUUGAGCACUAAUCAUAGUAAAAUCAAAUGUAAUAUUUCCUAACAUAAUAACUUUCCAUUGUUAAACUUAAUCCCUAAAAAUUGAUUGAUCAUUGAGGGAAAGGUAAAUCUUUCCGAAAUUCAGCGCUACUCAUAAUCAAGUGUAAUCUUUCUUAAUAGAAUACUUACCAUGGAGAAUACCGGCGGCGAAUCAACGAAAGUGCAACGAAAUUGCGGUUGGGCAGCCUGGGGCUUGGAACGGGCCAUCGGCGACGGGGGUGGGGAUCGAUUUGGGGACGAAAUUAGGGCGUGGGUAGCCGAGCUUCGCCGUCAGCUGUCUCCGAUGGCUAGACUUCGGGUGAUGAAUGAGCCCAUCCAUGAAGACACGGUCGUUUGGGGCGGCAGUUGAGAGAAGGAGCUGGCGGUGGGAGAGAGACCGAUGAGUAGGGUUUCAGGUUUAAACAUUUGAAAAAUAACACGAAAGUGUGUACAGAAAGGGGCGGCGGCACUGACUUGGGGCCGGACUACGGAAAAUUGAAGCGAGGGAGGUCGAGUCUGGUGUUAAAAUGGGGAAAGAAUAAGCGGGCGGGGUGGGACGGCGAGGCAGAUCGCGGCGGUGGGAGGAGCGGGGCGCGGUGGGGGUGGGGAGAAUCGGAUGUGAGAGA
RNAcentral lists this long non-coding RNA (1711 nucleotides) under Salvia miltiorrhiza (redroot sage). Its description in RNAcentral is "long non-coding RNA (SMIL_LNC008389)". Lineage: Eukaryota; Viridiplantae; Streptophyta; Magnoliopsida; Lamiales; Lamiaceae. The record is from RNAcentral.